AGCCCCGGAGCCCUUUAAGGCUCAUCUUCAAAUUUGCAUUUUAACGUGAAACACCACAGGACU
RNAcentral lists this transfer RNA (63 nucleotides) under Anolis podocarpus. RNAcentral describes it as "tRNA-Cys". The record is from RNAcentral. Lineage: Eukaryota; Metazoa; Chordata; Lepidosauria; Squamata; Anolidae.